This 433-nucleotide ribosomal RNA is filed under the name uncultured bacterium. Its description in RNAcentral is "partial 16S ribosomal RNA". It matches the Rfam family "Bacterial small subunit ribosomal RNA", at positions 28 to 507 of the family's 1533-position model. The record is from RNAcentral.
GACGAACGCUGGCGGCAUGCCUAACACAUGCAAGUCGAACGAGACCUCCGGGUCUUUUGGCGCUCGUGGGCUUAACGCGUGGUAACUUGCCCUUGGGUUCCCUGUCACUCCCCGUGGGGUGUCUUCAUACCGGUUAAUGUCUUCGGACCUAAGAUGUAUCGCUUUUGGGUGGGCCCGGGUUGGUUUAGCUAGUUGGUAGUGUACAAGCCUACCAAGGCGACGAUCCAUAGCUGGUCGGAGAGGAGGAUCUGCCACGCUGGGCCUGAGACACGGCCCAGACUCCUACGGAAGGGAGCAGUAGAGAAUAUUAGACGCGGGGCGAAAGCCUGAUACAGCAGUGCCGGGGAAGUGAUGAAGGCGUUAGGGUUGUAAAGCCGUUUUACCUGAGAUGAUAAUGACAGUACCGGGAGAAUAAGCACCGGCUAACUCCGUG